GAUGAACGCUGGCGGCGUGCCUAAUACAUGCAAGUCGAGCGAACAGACGAGGAGCUUGCUCCUUUGACGUUAGCGGCGGACGGGUGAGUAACACGUGGGUAACCUACCUAUAAGACUGGGAUAACUUCGGGAAACCGGAGCUAAUACCGGAUAAUAUUUCGAACCGCAUGGUUCGAUAGUGAAAGAUGGCUUUGCUAUCACUUAUAGAUGUACCUGCGCCGUAUUAGCUAGUUGGUAAGGUAACGGCUUACCAAGGCAACGAUACGUAGCCGACCUGAGAGGGUGAUCGACCACACUGGAACUGAGACACGGUCCAGACUCCUACGGGAGGCAGCAGUAGGGAAUCUUCCGCAAUGAGCGAAAGCCUGACGGAGCAACGCCGCGUGAGUGAUGAAGGUCUUCGGAUCGUAAAACUCUGUUAUUAGGGAAGAACAAACGUGUAAGUAACUGUGCACGUCUUGACGGUACCUAAUCAGAAAGCCACGGCUAACUACGUG
Molecule: ribosomal RNA, 497 nt
Filed under: uncultured bacterium
Lineage: Bacteria
Description: partial 16S ribosomal RNA
Rfam family: Bacterial small subunit ribosomal RNA
Source: RNAcentral